GACGAACGCUGGCGGCGUGCUUAACACAUGCGAGUCGAACGGAAAGGCCCUUCUUUUGUGGGGUGCUCGAGUGGCGAACGGGUGAGUCACACGUGAGUAACCUGCCCUUGACUUUGGGAUAACUUCAGGAAACUGGGGCUAAUACCGGAUAGGAGCUCCUGCUGCAUGGUGGGGGUUGGAAAGUUUCGGCGGUUGGGGAUGGACUCGCGGCUUAUCAGCUUGUUGGUGGGGUAGUGGCUUACCAAGGCUUUGACGGGUAGCCGGCCUGAGAGGGUGACCGGCCACAUUGAGACUGAGAUACGGCGCAGACUCCUACGGGAGGCAGCAGUGGGGAAUAUUGCACAAUGGGCGGAAGCCUGAUGCAGCAACGCCGCGUGCGGGAUGACGGCCUUCGGGUUGUAAACCGCUUUCGCCUGUGACGAAGCGUGAGUGACGGUAAUGUGUAAAGAAGCACCGGCUAACUACGUG
RNAcentral lists this ribosomal RNA (468 nucleotides) under uncultured bacterium. Its description in RNAcentral is "partial 16S ribosomal RNA". It matches the Rfam family "Bacterial small subunit ribosomal RNA", at positions 28 to 507 of the family's 1533-position model. The record is from RNAcentral.